UACAUUACAUUGCCUUACCCCAAACGAUCAGUUUCUAAUCCGAAUCCAUCUUAUCGUUUCUGGCAGCACGGCAUCGUUUGGAGACGUCAACCGGCGAUGACGUUAUUCCUAUGCGGAAUGAUCAAUGAAUAUUUUAGGUAAACAAACCGGAAUGGAAACUCGCCGUUCACAUUCCGGUUUUCGCGAUUUUUUUGGUUUUCGCGACGGUUUCUCGCGGCGAAAAUACGUUGCGCGUGCGUGUUUAUCCCCAUAGAAAAGGGGAAAAGUGUUUUGUGCGAAAAAGAAACGCCCAAACAAGGCAAAAAUUUGUAAAAAGUCCCCGCUGAAGAGGGGUGAAAACUAAAUCAAUGGCACCGAACAAGGUGAAGUGAUGUGUUUUCGGUUGUUUGCCUUCUGCCAAGUGCCAGUGCGUGGGUGUUUUUCCAAAAGGCGCGGGAUUCUAUCUGGCAAAAAAUUAAAAUUUACACCGUCACGACUGAUUUUGGAACAGAAAGCAAAACUUCAGCAGAACGAUUUAUUACUCCGCCACUAGUGCGAAGCACGCAAAACGUUAACGAAGGUAAUGAAGAACCUUCUAACAGCAGUGUAAGUCUUCCUUUUUACUAUUCACUAGAAGAAGGUAGAGCAACGCAUAAAUGGAUCGACAGUCCAAAUGUAAUCCGGCGGUCGCCUUUGAAAUGUUCCCAAAUGAACAAUCCGUUUAAAGGCAGGCCGCCGGUACAAAAUUGUACCAGUUUAUGCUGGUUUGAGAAGAUUUGCUGGCCAAACACCAAGAUUUUUCCCGGUAGGAUCAACCAGCUCGUAAGACGAAGACCCCUUUUUGGCGAGAACUUUCGCCGAUCACCCUCCCCGGAAAUCCUGGAGUAGUCAUCCCCUGAUGCCAUUUCGCAACCAUGGACGACGAAUUGAGGACUAAACCCGGUAGACGAAUGAACCGUGGUAUUUAGAAUGCGUUCCACACCAGAAAUGCGGGCAUCCCAGUGGCGCUGGUCCGUGCGGGCGUACGCGCGAAUUGCCGUAUUUAUAGAACGAUUCGUUCGUUCUACCGGGAACCGGCUGAAUUCUUUGGAGAUGAACGUCGAACCAUUAUCGCUCAACAGGAUUUCCGGACUUCCAUGGCGGUUGAACCAUUGUUCGCGAAGGGUCGCACAAAGUGAGGUGCUGCAAAUUUUGCGAACGGGGGUCAACAUUACGUACUUGCUGAAGACAUCGAGGACGACUAGCAAGUGUUGAUUGCCCCGUUUGCUUCGAGGAAGUGGGCCUAUGUAGUCCACCGAAAUCAUCUGCCACGGUGCACCGGUUGUGCGUGACUGACCCAUUUCUGGUUGGACUGAGGUAGUAAAUGGUGCUUUUAUCUCUUUGCAGGUCCCACAUUGGCGAAUAUAUUCGCGAACUUCUGGUCCCAUACGAGGCCAAAAAUAGCGUUUUAGAACCUCGUGAAUCGUUUUAUCAUAACCCACAUGAAGCAAUUCAUCGUGGGUACGUUUGCACGAUUUCUUCUCGACACUCGGGAGUUGGGACCAAUUUCCAACUAAACCGAGAGUCGAAUGGUACACUUUUCGAGGCCACGUAUUUGAAAAGUUUACCAUCUUCGACUUUGCAGUCAGGAUAAUCAUCAGGAUUAGCUGAAACUUUAGACUUCAUGGAACAAUACCAGUCUGAAAUGGACAAUGCCGAAAUGGCUGCUACAGCACGGGAUAAGGCAUCCGGAACGACAUUGUCCUUACCUUUCCGGUGCUCAAUGGACAUGUCGUUGAGUUGUAGUUCCAAACUUCACCGACUCAGGCGCGAACUGGUUUUCCAUUUGGUCUUCAGUAUCCAGGUAAUGGCUGAUGAAUCAGUGACAAGUCGAAAAUGAUAACCUUCCAAGUAACCUCUAAAGUGUUCAACCGCCAUAAUCACCGCCAGACCUUUCUUUUCGGUAGCGUGGUAAUUCCGUUGGGAAGUGGUUAGCUCAUGUGAAAAAUAAGCUACCACUUUUCCCCCUCUGGAUGUUCUUGCACCAAAACAGCCGCGACAGCAGUGUCGCUGGCAUCUGUCUGCAAAAUGAAUUCCUUUGAAAAAUCUGGCGGGACAAGCACUGGAGGAGUGACCAAAAGUUCCUUUACCUUCAGGAACGUGAGUUCUGCUUCGGAGUUCCAGCCAAUAUUCUUGGCCUUUGUUUUCAAGAGGUCGGUCAAAGGUGCGGUUACCUCACUAAACCGAUCAAUGAAACGCCGGUAGUAACCGAACAUCCCCCGGAAUCGACGCAGUUUAGUAACCGUCACCGGCCGCUCGUAAUCGAGUAUCGGCUGAAUUUUGUCAGGGUUGACCUUUAGACCUUCCUGAUUCAACAGAUAGCCAAGAAAUUUCAACUCUGGAACCCCAAAACGGGAUUUAGCCAGGUUUAUCGUCAGAUUGGCUCUGGCUAGACUUUUAGCCACUUCUUCGAGUAACUGCAGGUGAUGCUCGAACGUUUCGCUUACCACGAUGAUAUCAUCGAGGUAAACAAAAACGUACGGUUCCAGCUUUCUUCGUCCUAACACCUGGUCCAUCAGACGUGCCAAAGUGGCAGGGCUGUUAACGAGACCGACGAGUAAAUUGGAACAUACCCCUGCCGGGCACACUGAAAGCAGUAAACUUACGACUGCCCUUAGCCAAGGGAACCUGGAGAAAAGCCUCCUUUAAGUCUAUAGUAGACAGGUACUUGGCUUUAGGCAGGCUUCCUAAAAUGCGCCCGUGAUGCGGCAGAGGGUAUGCAUCACGUACUGUACGCUCAUUAAGAGGCCGGGCAUCUAGACAAAGCCGAAUAGAGUCGUCUGGUUUGGUCACAGCGACAAUAUUCAAAGACCAAUCGGAAUCUGACUCUUCAAUAAUAUCCAUAGAACGCCAACGGUCGACUUCUUCCCAGACUUUAGACAGUUUUCUUGGGCUCAUUUUAUAAGGAUAUCGACAAACAGGCGCGGCACUUUGAAAUUCUUCCUUAAUUACGAUCCUGUGCUCUGUUAGCGAGGUCGUAUUCAGUUUUUCGGGCACUACAGCCUGAAAACAGGUCGUAACCUGUUCGAUACAGGCCAGCUGUUCCGGAGUAAGUAUAGACUCACUCGGAGCAUCAAUCUCUACUUCUUCGUCCCGUUCCGAACCUGUGUUCAACAGAGCACAAGUUUGCAACUCGGGUGUUAUUCCAAAGGCGCGCCAAAAGUCCAUACCGAGUAUUGAAGAAACUGUUAAUUGCUCCACUACAAGGGUUCAAAUAACCUUUGUCUUGUUUUGGAAAGUGUAAGGAAGAUAUAUUUGUCCAAGGAUCGGUAAGGUCUGUCCAUUUGCUGAACGAAGUUCAACUGGCCUUUCCAAACCUUUCAAUGGACUUUUGGAAAACUUUCGGUACAACUUUUCGGUGAUAAUGGUGGCAUUACUACCACUGUCGAGCAAAGCGCUGAAGGAAUGGCCAUAUACUGCGACAAAAACGAAAGGACGAUUAUCGGACGGAUCAUCGAGGAUGAUGGUUUCAACAAACAACGGAUCACGAUAAUCCUCAUCAUGAGCUGGUCGAAAACUGUUGUAAAUUUGGGGGUCAAAUUUUAGGCUUUCUAUGGAGCACACAUCCUUACACAACUGCGACUUUAGUUGGUACGAAUCCCGUUUUUUAAGCAGUAGGGACAGCGAGAGACAUCGAAACCCUUGAAUCCACACAAAAUACAGAAGACUCGUCUUGGAUUUCUGCACGCCUCAUGCUCGUGUCCAGUACCACCGCAGUUGUAACAGACUCCGAGACUAGGACUAGGUCGAUGCUGCUCCACAAGAUAGUCGAGACAAAUCACCGGCUUUUGUUUGGAUUCCGGUUUCGAAUUUCUCUCGACUAGAUUCUUUUCCGUCUGAACACCUGGCUUUUUCUUCGUGUUUUCAGACGGCGUUUUGGAAGCAAAAUUAUCCUUUUGGGAAUUUUUGCUCCAAAAUGUUUUGGUUCCAACGUGCCUGUUAUUCGAACCACCUCCCUUUCUGUUUGGUUGGUCCUUUUUCGAGGGGUUAACCGGUGGAUUUACCGAAUAAGCAGCGACUUCCUUUUGAGAACCGAACACUUUUCGGUAAAUCGGUGUUUUGUACGCAUCAAUCGAUUUACCUAAAGUCAUCAAUUCUGCAAGCGUACUCACUGGCUUUGAAAUUAAAACUUGCUUAUAGUCCGGCCUUAGGUUCCGCUUGAGCACGUCGAGUUUUUCGCUCGAUGUCAUGGGAACCGUCAUAGCACGGAAUAUUUUUUCCAUUUCCUGGAAAUAAUCCAGGAAACACUCGUUUCGCAUCUGCAGGCGCUGGGAAACCUUUGAUUUGAGAGCGGCGUCAAGUUCCGGAUGAACGAAGUUUGCCUUAAGCUAACAAACCAAAUGGUUCCAGUUGUAAAGCCUGUUCUGCGAUCUCAUAGCCCGAUACCAAGUAAGAGCAUUGUCAGUGAGUAGGUGCAUUGCAGAAUUGAACAGCUCUUCCUCUGAAAUUUGCUCGCACUGAGCAUAAUUCUCAACGGAGUUCAGAAAUUCAUUCAGUCCUAGCCCAUCAUCUGUUCCAGCGUAUUUCUCGAUUUUCCAAUCAGAAACACGCUGUGGUCGACGAUUGUAGUGGUAGCCCGAGCAGGAUGGUAUUUCAUUACCCGUAUGAUUGGGCAAAGGAAAACGUCCACCUGUCGGGCUUGAUCUUCCAUUCCCAUGGUGUUUUGGGGCCUGGGACUGAAUCACUGGUAAAGCUGGUUCCGUGUUCUUAAUCGGAAGUGACGGACAUCGCUCUUUCAGGAAGUCCAGGAGUAACUUUUCCACCACGGUUUGAUUUAAUGUGGGCGCCAGUGGUGGAUCAUGUACUUCCAGUUCUUCUGGCUCGUCUAUUUCGUCCGUCUCACGUCUUUAAUCCAGAUCGGUCUGCAGAUCAAUCUCGGGAACGCCAGCUGGUUUAGAAUGUACCAGCGCCCGAAGUUCACUGACGGAUUCACGAAGUGAGACAACUUCUUGAACCGUCUUUCGCAAAACUGAAGAAAUCGUGUUCAGUGAAGCAAUCCCGCCCAUUAGCGUCUGAGUAGCUUCCAAAAGACUAUCAGACUUCUCAGCCGCUAGAGCUCUAUCCUUUUGUGAUUGCUGACGUAAAAAUCGAAUCUCGUCUCUUAACUCGCUCAAGACAGACCCAACAUCUUCUCCUACGAGCGGACCAGAUCCUACACUUUGCGGGGAAAUGGGUGCCGUUUGUGUUGGUGGCACGUUCGUGUCCAGCAAAUCACCCAAACCUGCUCCACCUUCCCCAGUAUUUUCAAUUGGAGGAAGCACUGCCGACAAAUCAAAAUGUUCUUGAUAUGUAGCAGCAACUUCCGCCAACAAAUCCAAAAUUUCCUGGUUGACCUCCCCUGCUGUGUAUUUGUGGAUUAUUUGGAGUCUAGACCCCAGAUGGAGUAACCUUGUUCGGUAAACCUCCUUGUUUAGGCAUCUAUAACGGAGAUCUUCCUUAAUGGAACUCAACUUCCCAAGGCAGAUCUCCAUUUCUUCAGCAGCAUCCCCAUGAAACACGCCCAAGUGUUCCACCGGAGACGACCGUUCUUCGGCCAACAAUCCCCGUAAACGACGCUGCCGCUGAACUGAAGCUUAACUCAAAAUCUAGCUCGUCGAAAUGCAAAUGGUCGACCCGCAUCAACCAAUAAGCUCUGUUGAGCUCUUCUACAAUCAUCGCCAUUUUCUCGAUUUUUCCGGAAAAGAACUCGAAAGCACAAAGCAUUCAGUAUCGACACGGAAUUUGAGCUGAAUUAAAAAAAAAAUUUCGAAUCGGAUUAAAAUUUUAGGGUUGGCAACCACCUUGACUGGGAAAGACUCAAGCUUUCUACAACUCGGCAGUUCAACCAAAACCAACGCAAAAUCACCGAAUCAGAAAAACGAAAAUAAUUAAAUGUAUAUAUAAUGAAUUUUUAAUAAAUAAAAUAAAUAACAGUAAAAAAUAAAUAAACAAUACGACC
This is a long non-coding RNA of Wyeomyia smithii (pitcher-plant mosquito), 5956 nucleotides long. RefSeq lists it as uncharacterized. The transcript is spliced from 4 exons. The record is from RefSeq and is a predicted model, not a curated record. Lineage: Eukaryota; Metazoa; Arthropoda; Insecta; Diptera; Culicidae.